RNAcentral lists this ribosomal RNA (464 nucleotides) under Vreelandella stevensii. RNAcentral describes it as "partial 16S ribosomal RNA". It matches the Rfam family "Bacterial small subunit ribosomal RNA", at positions 339 to 795 of the family's 1533-position model. The record is from RNAcentral. Lineage: Bacteria; Pseudomonadati; Pseudomonadota; Gammaproteobacteria; Oceanospirillales; Halomonadaceae.
CUACGGGAGGCUGCAGUGGGGAAUAUUGGACAAUGGGCGAAAGCCUGAUCCAGCCAUGCCGCGUGUGUGAAGAAGGCCUUCGGGUUGUAAAGCACUUUCAGUGGGGAAGAAAGCCUUGGGGCUAAUACCCUCGAGGAAGGACAUCACCCACAGAAGAAGCACCGGCUAACUCCGUGCCAGCAGCCGCGGUAAUACGGAGGGUGCGAGCGUUAAUCGGAAUUACUGGGCGUAAAGCGCGCGUAGGCGGUCUGAUAAGCCGGUUGUGAAAGCCCCGGGCUCAACCUGGGAACGGCAUCCGGAACUGUCAGGCUAGAGUGCAGGAGAGGAAGGUAGAAUUCCCGGUGUAGCGGUGAAAUGCGUAGAGAUCGGGAGGAAUACCAGUGGCGAAGGCGGCCUUCUGGACUGACACUGACGCUGAGGUGCGAAAGCGUGGGUAGCAAACAGGAUUACAUACCCGAGUAGUC